This 253-nucleotide ribosomal RNA is filed under the name uncultured bacterium. RNAcentral describes it as "partial 16S ribosomal RNA". It matches the Rfam family "Bacterial small subunit ribosomal RNA", at positions 524 to 776 of the family's 1533-position model. The record is from RNAcentral.
UACGGAGGGUGCAAGCGUUAUCCGGAUUUACUGGGUUUAAAGGGUGCGCAGGCGGAUAUGUAAGUCAGUGGUGAGAUCUUUGGGCUUAACCCGAAAAUUGCCAUUGAUACUAUAUAUCUUGAAUGCUGUGGAGGUAAGCGGAAUAUGUCAUGUAGCGGUGAAAUGCUUAGAGAUGACAUAGAACACCUAUUGCGAAGGCAGCUUACUACGCAGAUAUUGACGCUCAUGCACGAAAGCGUGGGGAUCAAACAGG